Molecule: long non-coding RNA, 1765 nt
Organism: Gallus gallus (chicken)
Lineage: Eukaryota; Metazoa; Chordata; Aves; Galliformes; Phasianidae
Source: Ensembl
CCGCGGGGAGCGCGGAGCUGCGCGGCCGCGGGGCGCAGGUGGGCCCCGCCGCCCCGUCACCCUCCAGGAGCAGGUGAGCCACUGACUAACGCACAUUGUGCUCUCGGCGACUCCACUGUGCGUGUGACAGCGGCUAACCUGCUCCUCGGACAUCGCUGUGCGGCCGCCUCACGUCGCCUCGUCCGCAUGACACCUCUCGCCCCGAGCGGGACACGAGGUGCAGCGACACGCCGAGGAACUCCCACCCGUCCGUCUGUCCGUCCGUCCGUCCGUCCGCCCGUCUGCUGCCUUGCCAUCGCCCCGUGAGCGAGAGGUGGGAUGCCGGUAGGGCAGAGCCGCAUGGCGCGGGCGGCAGAGGGCCGAGGAGGGAUGGAUCCCCCCUUUGUGGCCCAGUUUGUCUCCGAAGUCAAUAAAUGCUUACGGACGCCGUACCGAGUUAAAGGGAUGCUUUAUCCCGGCCGGUGACGUCUUGAUACCCAGUGACUAACUGAACUGCUAUUGCCAAGGGUGUGUUAAUAGAAGAAACCAUGCCUGGUAUUGCCCUGGAUGAGUCACCUUUAAAGAGAGACUCUGUAAUCUGUUAAAUGAGAAGCAGCACCGAGCUUUGCUUUCCUUCUUUGCCAUUUGCUUCCCAUCGCACCCCGCACCUUUGCUCACUCUUUCCUGCUCCCACCCACGGGGCUGCCUGUCCCUCUGUCACCGUGGUGUCGCACAGCUGAGGAGCACAGCACAGGGGCUGCUCAGCGGGGAGCACAGCUGUCGCUGGGAGUGGAGGAAGUGACGAGGCAAAUUGCUGCUCGAGCAAAGUUCUCUCUUUCGAUUUUGAACCCAUAAAGAAGCCGGGUGGUUGGAAAGCGUCCUGCUAGGUUAUGGCAUGGCUUCAUCUCCUGCUUAAACUAAUUGCGAGCAGACAUUGCCCUCUGAGGUUUCCAGAAGGGCCUGGGUAGUCUCUGUUGCGUUUGCGUUGCUUGCAUGUAACCCUGGGCUGUUGCAGCAAUGCUGUCAGUAAGCACUUAACCGUACAGAAAGGCAGCACAACAUCCUUCUUGCAGACCGAGUCUCCCACACAGAAGUGCUGCCCGUCCCCAUCUCCCCUGCCUGUACUCCUUUGACGUUUCUCCUGCCGGGUCCCAGAGGAGGAAAAUCUGGUGCUCUGCAUGCCUCAUGCAGAGCGAGUGAGUCAAGGUUGCUUCUGCACACCAGAAGGCUGCCUGAAUUUACCAAAGCUGCUUGUACAAUUGCUGUGUAGCUCGGUGCCUCGCUGCUGGGGAUCCCGCUGGCAGAAAUGGCUCUGCAGGUCACUCUGAUGAGGUUGGUCCUGCUUCCCAUCAGGCAGCACUUGGUAUGAAAACUUGUGACUUCCCUCUACCUCCAAGACCAUCCUGUUUGGCUCCAGUAAGCAAAGGCAAGGGAUUGAAUGAAGUUUGUUUGUGUUUCCUUUUUUUUUUUUUUUUUUUUUGGUGUGCUUCCCUCCAGUAAGUGGGGGAAACGUAUCACUGAAUUUUUGUUUUUAACGUUCUUUUGCAUGAUUCAAAACUAACCUACUGUGCUGUCACCUGAAGUCUUCAAUAAACAGUGCAAAACCAGUGUCUGGAUGCUCAUUACUAUAACUCGGGGCUUGGCAGAUUACGGAGCAGGUCCUUAAGGUGGCCUUUGGUAAGAGGAAGCUGUGCCUGCUCAGGCGUGGCUGAUGUGUGUUGCAUGCUGAGCGCUUCCCAUGUCUCAUUUUGCCUCUAGAGCAAAAGAAGGUGGACUUGAAAAGGAG